AUUGAACGCUGGCGGCAGGCCUAACACAUGCAAGUCGAGCGGAUGAAGGGAGCUUGCUCCUGGAUUCAGCGGCGGACGGGUGAGUAAUGCCUAGGAAUCUGCCUGGUAGUGGGGGAUAACGUCCGGAAACGGGCGCUAAUACCGCAUACGUCCUGAGGGAGAAAGUGGGGGAUCUUCGGACCUCACGCUAUCAGAUGAGCCUAGGUCGGAUUAGCUAGUUGGUGGGGUAAAGGCCUACCAAGGCGACGAUCCGUAACUGGUCUGAGAGGAUGAUCAGUCACACUGGAACUGAGACACGGUCCAGACUCCUACGGGAGGCAGCAGUGGGGAAUAUUGGACAAUGGGCGAAAGCCUGAUCCAGCCAUGCCGCGUGUGUGAAGAAGGUCUUCGGAUUGUAAAGCACUUCAAGUUGGGAGGAAGGGCAGUAAGUUAAUACCUUGCUGUUUUGACGUUACCAACAGAAUAAGCACCGGCUAACUUCGUG
This 484-nucleotide ribosomal RNA is filed under the name uncultured bacterium. RNAcentral describes it as "partial 16S ribosomal RNA". It matches the Rfam family "Bacterial small subunit ribosomal RNA", at positions 30 to 507 of the family's 1533-position model. The record is from RNAcentral.